Molecule: non-coding RNA, 186 nt
Filed under: Schizosaccharomyces pombe (fission yeast)
Lineage: Eukaryota; Fungi; Ascomycota; Schizosaccharomycetes; Schizosaccharomycetales; Schizosaccharomycetaceae
Source: RNAcentral
GUUCGAGUCUCGCUUUCGAUCCCUCGAUCUGCCACGUCUGUNCGAAGAGUAGUCUUCGUGGCAACUGGCAGUUAAACCGUGUAGUACCGAUGGAGGUUGGAAACAAUGCACAUCACUACCGGGUCUUGGGCAGUGCGAUANGAUGGGAUUCACCUUCGCAGGAUGUGCAUGGAAGUAUAAACACAA